This 253-nucleotide ribosomal RNA is filed under the name uncultured bacterium. RNAcentral describes it as "partial 16S ribosomal RNA". It matches the Rfam family "Bacterial small subunit ribosomal RNA", at positions 524 to 776 of the family's 1533-position model. The record is from RNAcentral.
UACGAAGGGUGCUAGCGUUGUUCGGAAUCACUGGGCGUAAAGCGCGCGUAGGCGGCUUUUCAAGUCAGGGGUGAAAUCCUGGGGCUUAACCCCAGAAUUGCCUUUGAAACUGUAAAGCUAGAGUGUCGGAGGGGAUAGCGGAAUUCCUAAUGUAGAGGUGAAAUUCGUAGAUAUUAGGAGGAACACCGGUGGCGAAGGCGGCUAUCUGGACGACAACUGACGCUGAGGCGCGAAAGCGUGGGGAUCAAACAGG